This is a long non-coding RNA of Neofelis nebulosa (Clouded leopard), 1249 nucleotides long. RefSeq lists it as uncharacterized. Lineage: Eukaryota; Metazoa; Chordata; Mammalia; Carnivora; Felidae. The transcript is spliced from 2 exons. The record is from RefSeq and is a predicted model, not a curated record.
UUUUUUUUUUUUUAGAUCAUUAAGGCAAAGGCACCACGCGUCAGGCGGUGGUCGGCAGGCAGGGUUGGGGAGCCUGCCUGAAAGAGGACCGAGGGGCCUACAGACAUUAAAGUUUGGGAAGUGGCAAGGACAGCGCCUGGUGCAGGGUAACGGCCACGCAGGCCAGCGUCGGCUGCCGUGAUCAGGAUGGUCUUAAACAGGAGGUCUGGCCGCCUCCCUGAGGGUCACGAUAUUGCCAGCAGUGGCCCGUGCAAAGGCCCUGGGGUUGGAGGCAACAGGAGGGAAAGAAGCCAGGGAAGGUGGUCAGAGUGGAGAAGGGACCAGCAGGUGGGGGGCUCUAGGCCUUGGGGGUGGCGAGAGCGGUUCUUCUCCAGGCCCCCAGGGGGCAGCAUGGGCCACAGGGAGCCGACCUGGGUGCCCGGUUCCCCAGCUGUGAGAGACCCAAGUCCUGGCCAGUCCGGAAACUCCAGUCUCCCCGGUUACCAGCUUUGUGCACACCAUUUAUUGAGCAAUUACUAUGUGCCCAGCCCCGUGCUGGGGGGCUCAGGGCCACCACAUCCCCGGGAGGAGAGGGUGAUGCCCCCGCCCCCAGCGUCCAGGGGAAGUGGCCUCGGCCGUUUCCUGCCACCCAGCUGGCCAGCUGGUGUCAGCACGCCCCUCCGCCUUCCCCCCCACCGGGGUUUCCUGUUUGUGCAGCACUCGCCCAGCUCCAUCUCCAGGGGACUCCCUGGCGGGUGGGAGGAAGUGCUUUCCUCUGCCAGACGCUGGAGCUCCCCAUGGGACCAGGCCAAACGUCGCUGCCCCCGCCUGCCUUGAACAUCUGGCUUGGAGGCAGGCGCCUGAGGAUCACAGGAGGCCAAGGAGGACUCAGGGUCACAGCCGGCCCGUGGUCAAACCCCAAGGUGGUGGGAGUCACGGCCAGACGCCAAAGAAGGAGAAUCAGCCCCUUCCACCUGCCACGUUCCAAAGCCAGGCAUGACCGCCGUGUGCCCUCAGGCAAGUUGCUUAACUGUUCUGAGCCUCACUUCUCUCUUUCAAAUGGGUGUGGGCGUCACCGAGAGGUGGUAAAGAGGUAAUACGGACGGACGGACGGGUCGGGAGCCCCGUAGGGCACACCCAAAUCGAGUUCGAGCCCCGGAUCCGGUUCAGCGUGGACGGCGUGGAGCCCGCUUGGGAUUCUCUGUUUCCCUCCCUCUCUCUCUCUCUCUCAAAAUAAAUAAACUUAAAAGAAUAUUUUAAAUCCCUAAAA